Molecule: ribosomal RNA, 420 nt
Filed under: uncultured Sphingomonas sp.
Lineage: Bacteria; Pseudomonadati; Pseudomonadota; Alphaproteobacteria; Sphingomonadales; Sphingomonadaceae
Description: bacterial SSU rRNA
Rfam family: Bacterial small subunit ribosomal RNA
Source: RNAcentral
GCAGCAGUGGGGAAUAUUGGACAAUGGGCGAAAGCCUGAUCCAGCAAUGCCGCGUGAGUGAUGAAGGCCUUAGGGUUGUAAAGCUCUUUUACCCGGGAUGAUAAUGACAGUACCGGGAGAAUAAGCCCCGGCUAACUCCGUGCCAGCAGCCGCGGUAAUACGGAGGGGGCUAGCGUUGUUCGGAAUUACUGGGCGUAAAGCGCGCGUAGGCGGCUUUGUAAGUUAGAGGUGAAAGCCCGGAGCUCAACUCCGGAAUUGCCUUUAAGACUGCAUCGCUCGAAUCAUGGAGAGGUGAGUGGAAUUCCGAGUGUAGAGGUGAAAUUCGUAGAUAUUCGGAAGAACACCAGUGGCGAAGGCGACUCACUGGACAUGUAUUGACGCUGAGGUGCGAAAGCGUGGGGAGCAAACAGGAUUAGAUAC